Molecule: long non-coding RNA, 4479 nt
Filed under: Canis lupus familiaris (dog)
Lineage: Eukaryota; Metazoa; Chordata; Mammalia; Carnivora; Canidae
Description: lncRNA (ENSCAFG00000052015.1)
Source: RNAcentral
GUGUCCAAUAGCAGUUAAUAGAAACCUAUGGAACAGCCAUCCUCACGUGUGUUGGGAUUGCUGAUUCAAACUUCCCUAUUUAUCCACAAAAUUUUGCUUAUGUCCAGAGUUCUAAAGCCAUUUUAUAAUACUCCAGUAUCCCUUUUCUACAGCCUUACUAAAAUAGCUACAAACAUAUUCCAAUGCAGUAUCCCUUUUCUACAGCCUUAUUAAAAUAGCUACAAACAUUUUCCAAUUCAGUUUCGCUUUCGUUGUAUAUCAAAGUUUUAUCCUACAGACCAAGAAACCAACUUGAGGUAAAUUACAUAGCUUUCCAUUUACCCUUUUUUCCUCAGGUGCUAAAUAAAGGCUCCAAAAAUGGAUACUGCUUUAGUAAUGUCUUUUAUUCUUAAACAUUUCUUUUGCUAGAUGUAAAGAUUUGGUGUUAACAAAAAUGGUUUUAAUAUGUAAAUAUGAAUGAAUGCCUUUAGUUUGCCUGUUUGUCUAUUAAGUCUGUUUCGUUUAUCCUCAAUAGAGGAGGAUCCUUUCAUAAUCUUGAAUACAUUUCAUUAGGAAUUGUUGCAUUAGGAAUUUUUAAAGUGAAAAUACAACUGUUUUCUGUCUUGGAUUAAUCCUGCUGCUGCUAUGAGAAACUGAAAAUCAAGAAUGUGAUGCACUUUUUACAUUACUAUAUACCAUACCUUUAUAAGUUGCUUUGAAUACCUUUACGGUAGCACAGCCACUAACAAAAGUGAAUGAAUUUAAAAUUUUUCUUCAGGAGGGAAUCAGUACAAAUAAACUAUUUAUGGUAUUGGCCUAUGAAGGACAGUAACUUAUGAAAAUAAAAAUUGUUAGUAUUACACUUUUUGGCCUUAAAAUGUCUUCUACUACUGAAAAUCUUUUAAAUCUUAGUUUUGUUUCUGUUCCCUCUCUCUGCCUCAAAAAGAGGAUUUUGGAAGAAUGGCUUAAAGGAAGUAUCAUUUGUUUGUUGCUGAUUUAUCUUUUAGAAAGAAAACAAUUGUCUACUAUAUAAGUUGGGGACUUUCUUGUUUGUAUACAGAGGAGAAAUAAUGCCAUCCCGAGCCAGUCAGAUUUAGUAUAAUCAAAUCAAUCAAAACUCAACUAUUCUGCUUCUUUAGUGUAUUUUUACUUAACAAAGAUAAACUUUAGUAGGAAUGCUACUUGACAAGAGGAAGUCAUUUCUCAAGCACAUACCCAAACUUGAAGGAGUCUGAACCCAAAAUAAUGGAGGAAAAAACACCAAAUGGGGUGGAGGAAUAUGAGAAAGAUACGUGGUCCAAAGCUAUCUGGUUAUAUUUUGAUGUUGCCAAUAUUGCCAAGCCAAAUUUUUAAUUUGCUUAUUUAAUGUUUGUUGGCCAGAGAUCUAUUUUUAUAUCAAUGUGCCUUGCAUGUAUAUUAAAAAAGUUUGGAAAGGCCAUGUAGUAAUGCCUAGGAUAGUUGACGGUUCUUACCACCUCACUAAUUUUUAUGCAGUAUGAAAUGCUCAUUCUAUCGCCCAACUGGUGCUCUCUGUUUAAAGUUAUAGGUCUUGUCACAAACUGGAACUAUUUUAUAAACUGGGGAAGUGAUUUAAUUUACUUUUUUUGUUGUUUCUUUUUUUGUUCUUAAUCUGUUAGUGGCUGUUCUGUAGUGGGAAAUAGUAAGAGGAUUCUUCGCUCCCUUACCCUACCCCCUCAGCACCUUCUUCAAGUAAUGUGAUGACACCAUUUCUUGUGUGCUUUGAAAAAAGUUUCAGCUUGCUGUCUCCUUUAGUGUUAUAAAAAGGUGUUAUAAAAAGCAUUGUUUGCAAAAUCUAGGGAGAUAAUGGAGUCCACUUUAAUUUGGAAUUCUAUGUGAGCUAUGAUCCCAAGUUACUGGCUCUUUCCAACUUAAAAAAAAUAUUGUAAAAGCACCUUGGCUUAGAAAAUUUUAAAUAUUUAUGUCUGCAACAAUUGUCUAAAAAUAAUGAACUGUGCAAUUCUUGUCAUUAAAAAAAGAAAAAAAAAAAGAUCUGAACUCUCCCUAAUGUGACUUGUUAGUUUCUUUGUAUUUCCUGCCAGUGUAAAUGUGAAAAGCUUUGCUUGCAUUACGUUUUAGAAAUGCAUUUUGCACACUCGAAUUUUGCUGAAGCUCCAUGAAAAGGUUAGAUCUAAGUAGAUGAAUAAAGCUAUGCACAUGUUUUGAAAAUUUAAUUUGUGUGUCAUUACCAAAAGUGACCUAUCCUUAUUACUUUGCUGUUUUUAGCUUUACCAUCUUUAGAAACAUGGCUCAAAGUAAUAGUUCUAGGCUAGUUCAUCAGUAGAACUAGAAGAGAGGAAAACUGGCACCUAUUUUAAUAAACUUCAGUUUAAAUGAGAGCUGGACUUGUAUCUAUUAAAGGGCUUUUCUUGAAACAGGGCAGUUUUAUCAGCUUUACAAACUUCUGGAUGCUCUCACUUCCUCGUGGAAACUUUGGUUUAUUUGAUCAAAUAGAAAUGGGAGGUAACUCAGAUAUGAGGGAAGGACCUUUGCCACAUGGAGUUCUGUGACAAUUCUGUGUUGUAAGCCUGGUUUAAAGGUAGGAUAAUCUUUUCCCUUUAUUGCUUUAGCAUAUGUUUGGUUUUACUGAAUGAAUGACGAGCUUAUAAUCAUUCAUCUAUUUAAAGAUCAAAGCACAGGUUAUUUUAAAGAUAAUGUGUAUCUUUUAAAAGUUGCCCAAGCGGAUUAGAAUAAAGUGAAGAAGUUGGGCGAAUUUGGUUAAAUUGCUGCAGUCUGCAUGUACUAAAUAGCUUUACUUCACAUGUAUGUGUACUUAAACAAUUGUGUAGAUGUACUGGCCAGGUUUGUCAAGUCAUCUUUUAAAAGAUUGUUUUGUAAUCUACUUAGGACUUUUAGAGAAGAGGCUAAAUAAGUUUAAGUAGAAGAUAAUAUUAAUGGUACUUUCCCCAUGCUCCUAGAUCUAAAAGAAAUAUUUCUGAUUUGUAAGUUUUUUCCAAUGUGUAGAAGAGGGUUACUUCUCUAUCAUCAAGUGUGCUUUUGAUGUAUGUUCUGUUGACUUUGAAAACAGCAAAAACCCUUCUUUCUGAAAGUGACAGUCAAAAACUAAAUCUAGUAGUCAAGAUUGCAAAGGUAGCCCAUCAUGCCUGGCCUAAAAAGUAAAAAAUGCAGGAGAGUAGUAGCGUCAUCUUAAGUUGGCCAUGGCUACUUCUCCGCGUCUGUCAGUAGUUCACUUAUGUUCAGUGUUAGAACAAACAUUGAAGGAGCAAAGUAAUUUCUGUGUCUUGUGUGCAUCAACACUUAGGAGCUGAGUUACCUCUUCUCGAUCUGCGGGAAAGGAUAAUUGGACUAUAAUUAUGUUGGAGGAUAUUUUUCUUUCCCUCUCCCAACUAUUUUUUUUCAGUGUUUUUUUUUUGCCCAGUCAAAAAGAUAGGCCUUUUCUAGAUAAAAGAACAGUGGCCAGAAAUUUACCCUUUUGCUAAUUGCUUAGGUAUUUGCCAUAGCUGUUUCUGAUGUCAUGGAUUCUGAGGAAGUGUCAGUUACAUGAUGAUCUUCCUUUAUUGAUGUCUUACUCCAUGUUCAGUGUUUUAAAAAUAUAAAUUACAAACACUCAACAUCCAUACCCAGAUUUACUUAUUUUAUCAGAAAAAAAACCUUGAGAAAUUUGUAGAUCAAAUUAAGAGACAAUAAGUGUACAUUGUUGAAUAAAAAAUUUUAAAGUUUCUGAGGUGUUUGUGUUAUCUUUUGUGUGCUUUUAAAAGUUAUAUACUGAAAACUAAGAUUGUGGGAUGUACAAAUUAAGUCUUAAGUGUACCAUGGUCAUAUGUCAUUGAUUUAAAGCAAAUCAUACAGAUGCUUAGAAUUGGCAUAUUUAUUUUAAAAUGACCUGUGAGAACAGCUAUCCUAUUCCUUAAUGCCCAUUGAUCCUUAAUGUUCUUCAAUUGGAAUAGGAAGCCAAAAUUAAACUAAGCAGUUAAGCAACUAGAUCUAAGUUGCCAAGAUUCUGAAUUUGUGACUUUAUGUUGAAAUACAUGGCAAUGCAUAUUUGAGAAACUUCCUAAGUUUGUAUAGCAUUGAUUUGUCACAAGUUGAAAAAAAUCGGUGCUAACAUCAACAUGUUAGAGUAGGGAAUGUGGGGAAGAGAUGUAAAAACAUUUACCAUAAGUGUGUUUGUUUGUCACUAUAUAGACUGAUACAUUUCAUAUGCUUUUAUGUUCUUUGAGUUAAGGAAGAAUUGUCAGUUGGCCUGCUGAGUGACUUGCAAGGAUACAAAGGGAAUUGGGGGUUUUAUUGAAGCUUGUCUUUAAAAAUUCUCAGCCCCAUAGGUGUGAUUUAUAAAGUAUGGUGGGGGACACCUGGGUGGCUCAGUGGUUAAGCGUCUGCCUUCAGCUCAGGGCAUGAUCCUGAAGUUCCAGGAUCGAGUCCCACAUUGGGCUCCCUGCGUGGAGCCUACUUCUCCCUCUGCCUAUGUCUCUGCCUCUCUCUGUCUCUCAUGAAUAAAUAAAUAAAAAUCUUAAAAAAAAA